RNAcentral lists this ribosomal RNA (460 nucleotides) under uncultured bacterium. Its description in RNAcentral is "partial 16S ribosomal RNA". It matches the Rfam family "Bacterial small subunit ribosomal RNA", at positions 338 to 795 of the family's 1533-position model. The record is from RNAcentral.
CCUACGGGAGGCAGCAGUGAGGAAUAUUGGUCAAUGGACGAGAGUCUGAACCAGCCAAGUAGCGUGAAGGAUGACUGCCCUAUGGGUCGUAAACCUCUUUUAUAUGGGAAUAAAACGUUCCACGUGUGGGCUUUUGUAUGUACCAUAUGAAUAAGGAUCGGCUAACUCCGUGCCAGCAGCCGCGGUAAUACGGAGGAUCCGAGCGUUAUCCGGAUUUUUUGGGGUUAAAGGGGGCGUAGGUGGAUUGUUAAGUCAGUUGGGAAAGUUUGGGGCUCAAACGUAAAAUUGCAGUUGAAACUGGCAGUCUUGAGUAGAGUAGAGGUGGGCGGAAUUCGUGGUGUAGCGGUGAAAUGCAUAGAUAUCACGAAGAACUCCGAUUGCGAAGGCAGUACACUGGACUGCAACUGACGCUGAGGCUCGAAAGUGUGGGUAUCGAACAGGAUUAGAUACCCGAGUAGUC